CAGUAAGUGCCAGUAAAAUGAAUAUUAAACUUUAAGGGCGCGAGAAGAAAACCCAAACCGGAGCGGAGGUCAGCGCACACCGCCGCCGGUGCAUAACCGUUCACAAAAGUACACUUAUCGCACACAGUAACGUCAGGUAGGCCUAUAUUAUUCAAUAAUGACUACGAUCCAAAGUAUACAAGGGAUUUAUGAAGUUAUUGUGAGGUAACUUUGCAGCGUGGGGACUUUUUUUUAUCGGUGAACUCGGGACAGCUGGCGGACAUUACGGAACCUUGUUGUUGUGAACCGCCGCGUUCACCUCACAUGAACUUUGCCAGUGUGUGACAGUGCCGCAGCGGUCCGUGUGGACUAUGAACGCAGCUUAUACUUUAUACGCAUAAAUGUGUACAUAUUUAUCUUUGGUGAGAGGAUGUAGAGGCGAGCCGCCCAGAAGAAGUCCGUUUAUAGCGGCUCCUCGUUUUCCUCCGUGAAGCUGGACUCGGGGCGGUUCGGGCGGCGAACCUCCUGACUCCGCAAACUUUGCGGGCUCAUUUUUUUUCCCCAAAACUCGCUUUUGUUCCGCGGUUCUCUUCCAAACAUCAGGCAGGGAAACAGAAGGAAGCCGCUUCCAUGUUGAAUAAUAACAAUAAUAGGGAUAAAAAGCGAUAAAACUCCAUUUUGGGCGUGUGAAGAGAGAACAAGAAGGGCGGACGGACUGAUGCCCCGGUUCGUCACUCAGUGUCGACGGAGUUCGGCUUCUCGCUGCUCUCUCCACCUCUCUCCCUCCUGCCAGCCGUCCUUUAUUUAUUUCAACGCGAAAACUGAGGCGGAAAAACACGUUUCUGGAAGUUUUCUUUGGAGAAAUGUGGACAAGCGGUGUAAAACACGGUUCAUAUAUUUAUGAGUGAAUAUACCUGUAAUUUUAAGAAGACAUUGAAUCAACAAUUCAAGACAGAUUCACAUUCCUCCUGUAAGUACACAUUAAAUUUUUUCUAGUUUCAAGGAGCUUUUCAGUUUUUCUUC
RNAcentral lists this long non-coding RNA (1002 nucleotides) under Scleropages formosus (Asian bonytongue). RNAcentral's name for it is "lncRNA (ENSSFOG00015029963.1)". The record is from RNAcentral. Lineage: Eukaryota; Metazoa; Chordata; Actinopteri; Osteoglossiformes; Osteoglossidae.